RNAcentral lists this ribosomal RNA (428 nucleotides) under uncultured bacterium. Its description in RNAcentral is "partial 16S ribosomal RNA". It matches the Rfam family "Bacterial small subunit ribosomal RNA", at positions 354 to 796 of the family's 1533-position model. The record is from RNAcentral.
GUGGGGAAUAUUGGGCAAUGGGCGAAAGCCUGACCCAGCAACGCCGCGUGAAGGAAGAAGGCUUUCGGGUUGUAAACUUCUUUUGUCAGGGACGAAAAAAAUGACGGUACCUGACGAAUAAGCCACGGCUAACUACGUGCCAGCAGCCGCGGUAAUACGUAGGUGGCAAGCGUUAUCCGGAUUUACUGGGUGUAAAGGGCGUGUAGGCGGGAAAGCAAGUCAGAUGUGAAAACUAUGGGCUAAACCCAUAGCCUGCAUUUGAAACUGUUUUUCUUGAGUACUGGAGAGGCAGAUGGAAUUCCUAGUGUAGCGGUGAAAUGCGUAGAUAUUAGGAGGAACACCAGUGGCGAAGGCGAUCUGCUGGACAGCAACUGACGCUGAGGCGCGAAAGCGUGGGGAGCAAACAGGAUUAGAAACCCUGGUAGUCC